RNAcentral lists this small RNA (107 nucleotides) under Marmota monax (woodchuck). Lineage: Eukaryota; Metazoa; Chordata; Mammalia; Rodentia; Sciuridae. The record is from RNAcentral.
GCUGGGCAUGGUGACGCACUCCUGUAAUCCCAGCAGCUCAGGAGGCUGAGGCAGGAGGAUCACAAGUUCAGAGCCAGCCUCAGCAACUCAGUGAGACCCUGUCUCUA